GAUGAACGCUGGCGGCGUGCUUAACACAUGCUAGUCGAACGGAAAGGCUCCUGCUUGCCGGGGUCCUCGAGUGGCGAACGGGUGAGUAACACGUGGGUGAUCUGCCCUGCACUUCGGGAUAAGCCUGGGAAACUGGGUCUAAUACCGGAUAGGACGAUGGUUUGGAUGCCAUUGUGGAAAGUUGUUCGGUGUGGGAUGAGCUCGCGGCCUAUCAGCUUGUUGGUGGGGUAAUGGCUUAUCAAGGCGUCAACGUGUAGCCGUCCUGAGAGGGUGUACGGCCACAUUGGGACUGAGCUCCUGCCCAGACUCCUACGGGAGGCAGCAGUGGGGAAUAUUGCACACUGGGCGCAAGCCUUAUGCAGCGACGCCGUGUGGCGGAUGACGGCCGUCGCGUUGUAAACUCCUUUCGCUAGAGACGAAGCGUCAGUGACGGUACCUGGCGAAGAAGCCCCGGCUAACUCCGUG
Molecule: ribosomal RNA, 465 nt
Filed under: uncultured bacterium
Lineage: Bacteria
Description: partial 16S ribosomal RNA
Rfam family: Bacterial small subunit ribosomal RNA
Source: RNAcentral